RNAcentral lists this ribosomal RNA (1455 nucleotides) under uncultured prokaryote. Its description in RNAcentral is "partial 16S ribosomal RNA". It matches the Rfam family "Bacterial small subunit ribosomal RNA". The record is from RNAcentral.
AGAGUUUGAUCCUGGCUCAGAUUGAACGCUGGCGGCAUGGCUAAAACAUGCAAGUCGAACGAUCCCUUCGGGGAGAGUGGCGAAAGGGCGAGGAAUCCGAUCGAAUGUACCCCGAGGUGGGGGAUAGCCUGGAGAAAUUCAGGUUCAGGGUAAUACCCCAUAAUCUCUACGGAGCAAAGGCUUGCCGCCUUGGGAGCAGCGAUCGACCUAUCAGGUAGUUGGUGAGGUAACGGCUCACCAAGCCGAAGACGGGUAGCGGGUGUGAGAGCAUGACCCGCCGCAUCGGGACUGAGACACUGCCCGGACUCCUACGGGAGGCUGCAGUAACGAAUCUUCCGCAAUGGGCGAAAGCCUGACGGAGCAAUGCCGCGUGUAGGAUGAAGCAUCUUCGAUGUGUAAACCACUGUCAGGGUCUAGCAACCAUGAGCAGACCCAAAGGGAAGGACCGGCUAACUCCGUGCCAGCAGCCGCGGAAAUACGGAGGGUCCGAGCGUUAAUCGGAAUUACUGGGCGGAAAGCGUGCGUAGGCGGAUCGGAAAGCGUCUUGUGAAAUCCCCCGGCUCAACCGGGGAACAGCAGGGCGAACUACCGGUCUUGAGGAAGGUAGAGGCCGGCGGAACGAUCGGUGGAGCGGUGAAAUGCGUAGAGAUCGAUGGGAACGCCAAUGGCGAAGGCAGCUGACUGGGCCUGUUCUGACGCUGAGGCAGGAAAGCGUGGGGAGCAAACAGGAUUAGAUACCCUGGUAGUCCACGCCCUAAACGAUGCGCACUAGACCGGGGAGGCUUUCACGCCCUCCCGGUCGAAGGAAAACCGUUAAGUGCACCGCCUGGGGAGUACGGUCGCAAGGCUAAAACUCAAAGGAAUUGACGGGGGCUCACACAAGCGGUGGAGCAUGUUGCUUAAUUCGAGGCAACGCGAAGAACCUUACCAGGGUUUGACAUGUAUGGAUUAGCUCUUGGAAACUUGAGUAAGACGCCCUUGGGUGGAACAUGCACAGGUGCUGCAUGGCUGUCGUCAGCUCGUGCUGUGAAGUGUCGGGGUAAGUCCCUUAACGAGCGCAACCCCUAUCGUUAGUUGCUAACAGGUUAUGCUGAGUACUCUAGCGAGACUGCCGGUGUCAAACCGGAGGAAGGUGGGGAUGACGUCAAGUCCUCAUGGCCCUUAUGUCCUGGGAUGCAAACGUGCUACAAUGGCGUGUACAGAGCGAUGCAAUACCGCGAGGUGGAGCAAAUCGCUUAAAGCCGGCCCCAGUUCGGAUUGCAGGCUGCAACUCGCCUGAAUGAAGUUGGAAUCGCUAGUAAUCGGCGAUCAGCUACGCUCCGGUGAAUACGUUCAUGAGCCUUGUACACACCGCCCGUCACGUCAUGGAAGCUGUUAGUGCCCGAAGUCGCCACGAUACUGUGGUGCCUACGGCAAGAUCGGUGACUGGGACUAAGUCGUAACAAGGUAACCGUA